Molecule: ribosomal RNA, 520 nt
Filed under: uncultured Entrophospora
Lineage: Eukaryota; Fungi; Glomeromycota; Glomeromycetes; Entrophosporales; Entrophosporaceae
Description: SSU rRNA
Rfam family: Eukaryotic small subunit ribosomal RNA
Source: RNAcentral
AGCAGCCGCGGUAAUUCCAGCUCCAAUAGCGUAUAUUAAAGUUGUUGCAGUUAAAAAGCUCGUAGUUGAAUUUCGGGAUUGACACAUCGGUCGUGCCUUAAGGGGUAUGAACUGGUGUAGUCAAUUUCUCACCUUCUGGAGAACCGCGAUGCCCUUAAUUGGGUGUCGCGGGGAACCAGGACCUUUACUUUGAAAAAAUUUAGAGUGUUUAAAGCAGGCAUUUUGCUUGAAUACAUUAGCAUGGAAUAAUAAAAUAGGACGGCAUGAUUCUAUUUUGUUGGUUUCUAGGAUCACCGUAAUGAUUAAUAGGGAUAGUUGGGGGGCAUUAGUACUCAAUUGUCAGAGGUGAAAUUCUUGGAUUUAUUGAAGACUAACUACUGCGAAAGUCAUUUGCCAAGGAUGUUUUCAUUAAUCAAGAACGAAAGUUAGGGGAUCGAAGACGAUCAGAUACCGUCGUAGUCUUAACCAUAAACUAUGCCGACUAGGAAUCAGACGAUGUUAAUUUUUUCAAUGACUCGUU